GAUGAACGCUAGCGGCAGGCUUAACACAUGCAAGUCGAGGGGCAGCGCGGGAUAGCAAUAUCCUGGCGGCGACCGGCGGAAGGGUGCGUAACGCGUGAGCGACAUGCCCGUUGCCCGGGGACAACCGGUGGAAACGCCGACUAAUCCCCGAUGGGAUAUUGUGCCGCAUGCACGAUAUUGAAAGUUACGGCGGCGACGGAUUGGCUCGCGUCCGAUUAGCUUGUUGGCGGGGUAACGGCCCACCAAGGCUGCGAUCGGUAGGGGUUCUGAGAGGAAGGCCCCCCACAAUGGGACUGAGACACGGCCCAUACUCCUACGGGCGGCAGCAGUGAGGAAUAUUGGACAAUGGGCGGAAGCCUGAACCAGCCAUGCCGCGUGCGGGAAGGAGGCCCUAUGGGCUGUGAACCGCUUUUGCCUGGGGGCAAUAAGGGCGUCGCGCACGUCCGAUGAGAGUACCAGGCGAAUAAGCAUCGGCUAACUCCGUG
This 485-nucleotide ribosomal RNA is filed under the name uncultured bacterium. RNAcentral describes it as "partial 16S ribosomal RNA". It matches the Rfam family "Bacterial small subunit ribosomal RNA", at positions 28 to 507 of the family's 1533-position model. The record is from RNAcentral.